RNAcentral lists this long non-coding RNA (350 nucleotides) under Macaca fascicularis (crab-eating macaque). RNAcentral describes it as "lncRNA (ENSMFAG00000047181.1)". The record is from RNAcentral. Lineage: Eukaryota; Metazoa; Chordata; Mammalia; Primates; Cercopithecidae.
GGGUAACACACACAGAGUUCAGUGACCUCCUUGUUCCUUGAGGAGAGAGGACCUAUUCCUAUCUAAGGACAUUCCCAGAAGGCAAUGGGUUUCAAACAACGUCCUGGAGACUCAUCUCAGGGAACUAAGCAGAGCCAAGGAAUGAAGCUAUAAUGAAGACAACAAAGACAGGAGAACAAUUAUGGGGGUUGAUCCUUGGCUGAUAGACUUGACUUCAAAGUCGACCAUUAGCACCCCGGACCGCUUCCAGCUGCCCUCUAGGGUGGGAUGCCAGUGUGAUAAAAUACAGCGUCGUGUUUGCUGAGGAUUUCAGCUGCCACCUGGGGGCUCAUGCACUCAAUGAGUGCUCU